This 900-nucleotide long non-coding RNA is filed under the name Sorghum bicolor (sorghum). Its description in RNAcentral is "long non-coding RNA (SBIC_LNC013662)". The record is from RNAcentral. Lineage: Eukaryota; Viridiplantae; Streptophyta; Magnoliopsida; Poales; Poaceae.
AUAUUUCUCCUACCUGGUUUAUAUUUCUAACCAUUACAGUUGGAAUAUACCAAGUGGAAAAUAGUCUAUUUCAGAGCAAAAGCACCUAUGGAAAAAAUUACAAAGAUGCUUCUCACCCUUAUGAUCAUUCUUCCCCACACCAGUCGCACCAGUCUCUGCAGCCAAGGUUUGUAUUAUCAUAUAUGUAUUUACAGUAUCAAAGCGUAUAUAUAUGUUACACACACACACACAACUGUGCAUCAUGACUUGCUAAUAAAAAUAAGUUGAAAUUUAGCUGAUCAGUGAAUGUUAACAUGUGAGACAAGGAUAGCCACUAUAUUCCAAACUUUUUUUUGCUGAAUCACAUGGAUACGAAACAAUCUGAAUUCUUAGGAUGUAAAUGUUUAUUUCUCUAUCACUAUUUACACAGCUUUUUCUUUUCACACAAGAGAUGAUAUAGUACAUGUGACUAACAGGCGAUGCAGUGUUUGACGGCGGCAUCACAGGACAAAGCGCAUUAGAGUCAACAAAAACAUUCUGGCCACUGGACACACAAGUACGGAAAGUAUGUGCAGCAUGCCACUGUUGCCCUGGGAACAGUUCCAAAAGCUGCUACAUGGCGCCUUCAUGUUGCAUAGAGCUAAGGUGCAAUGGACCCCAUGAGCCAGAAGGCAAUUGUCUAAUAAUUAAACACUCUUGUACUUGUACCAAUUGCAGUUAAUCGCUGGUACCUUUGGUCAUGAUAAUAAUGAAUGCCAACAAAGCACAUUCAAUUUCAAGAUAAUAAAUUUACUAAAAUUGACAUGUCUAUCAGAUUGUGCAAAUUCAUAUUGUCUAGCAGGCCGCCAUGUUGGUACUCGUGAUCGAAGUACACCAUCUGCAUCGUGUAACCUGUUUAUGCGACUGGAUGCCAAUCUUCUC